Molecule: ribosomal RNA, 253 nt
Filed under: uncultured bacterium
Lineage: Bacteria
Description: partial 16S ribosomal RNA
Rfam family: Bacterial small subunit ribosomal RNA
Source: RNAcentral
UACGUAGGGGGCUAGCGUUGUCCGGAAUCAUUGGGCGUAAAGAGCGUGUAGGCGGCUCGGUAAGUCCGCUGUGAAAGUCCAGGGCUCAACCCUGGAAUGCCAGUGGAAACUGUCGAGCUAGAGUCCGGAAGAGGCGAGUGGAAUUCCUGGUGUAGCGGUGAAAUGCGCAGAUAUCAGGAGGAACACCAAUGGCGAAGGCAGCUCGCUGGGACGGUACUGACGCUGAGGCGCGAGAGCGUGGGGAGCAAACGGG